GGCGUUGUUGCCGUCAACCAGCUUCCCAAGCUGAAUACGCGGGUUCGAUUCCCGUCAUCGGCUCCA
This 66-nucleotide transfer RNA is filed under the name Mycolicibacterium vanbaalenii PYR-1. RNAcentral's name for it is "tRNA-Ser". The record is from RNAcentral. Lineage: Bacteria; Bacillati; Actinomycetota; Actinomycetes; Mycobacteriales; Mycobacteriaceae.